UGUGUGUGUGUGUGUGUGUGUGUGUGUACAUACACAUGCACACACACACACACACACA
Molecule: microRNA precursor, 58 nt
Filed under: Podarcis lilfordi (Lilford's wall lizard)
Lineage: Eukaryota; Metazoa; Chordata; Lepidosauria; Squamata; Lacertidae
Source: RNAcentral